Molecule: ribosomal RNA, 490 nt
Filed under: uncultured bacterium
Lineage: Bacteria
Description: partial 16S ribosomal RNA
Rfam family: Bacterial small subunit ribosomal RNA
Source: RNAcentral
AUUGAACGCUGGCGGCAGGCCUAACACAUGCAAGUCGAACGGUAACAGGAAGAAGCUUGCUUCUUUGCUGACGAGUGGCGGACGGGUGAGUAAUGUCUGGGAAACUGCCUGAUGGAGGGGGAUAACUACUGGAAACGGUAGCUAAUACCGCAUAACGUCGCAAGACCAAAGAGGGGGACCUUCGGGCCUCUUGCCAUCGGAUGUGCCCAGAUGGGAUUAGCUAGUAGGUGGGGUAACGGCUCACCUAGGCGACGAUCCCUAGCUGGUCUGAGAGGAUGACCAGCCACACUGGAACUGAGACACGGUCCAGACUCCUACGGGAGGCACCAGUGGGGAAUAUUGCACAAUGGGCGCAAGCCUGAUGCAGCCAUGCCGCGUGUAUGAAGAAGGCCUUCGGGUUGUAAAGUACUUUCAGCGGUGAGGAAGGGAGUAAAGUUAAUACCUUUGCUCAUUGACGUUACCCGCAGAAGAAGCACCGGCUAACUCCGUG